UGGCUGAUUAUGCAUUGAAUUAUGCGAUGGCAUAAUCACAUUUUUCUGGAGGGACUGGUAAUAGAGAAUUGU
Molecule: long non-coding RNA, 72 nt
Organism: Etheostoma cragini (Arkansas darter)
Lineage: Eukaryota; Metazoa; Chordata; Actinopteri; Perciformes; Percidae
Exons: 3
Source: RefSeq, a predicted model, not a curated record